UUCAGGUGAGCACGUGGCAGAGGCGUAGGGAGGCAAGCAGGUGAGUGACAAAAGAAUUGGCAAUGGUUUACCAGCAGCAGGUGACCGAGGUCCAGGGAAGCGGGGAUGACUGAGGCAAGAACCCCACUCCAGGAGCCGACUAUGAAGACAGGAAAAAACAGGUGGCCGGCCAGAGAGGAGCAACCAGUCUCCACCCAGAGGAGGAGGGCUGCUGGAUAACUACAGACACUCCACAUCUGGGAGAAGAGCAGAAUGGAGAUGGAGAAAAAUGCUGCAGCCCGCUGAUAGCAGACCUUCAGUCAGAGAGGAUGGAGCUGUGAUGUUUCUAUCAGCAGACAAGCGAAUGAACGAACUUCCAGCUGAGCCUCUGAAGCCACGUCAGCUGCCUCCCUCCUCUUCCUCCUGACCCUAUCCUCUGUCAGCCCUUUCUUUUGUCUCACAUUAUCCCCCCGUGCCACUCUGACUCUUUUCUUCU
Maylandia zebra (zebra mbuna) is the source of this 475-nucleotide long non-coding RNA. RefSeq lists it as uncharacterized. The record is from RefSeq and is a predicted model, not a curated record. NCBI's taxonomy places the organism in Eukaryota, Metazoa, Chordata, Actinopteri, Cichliformes, Cichlidae.